This 87-nucleotide non-coding RNA is filed under the name human gut metagenome. RNAcentral's name for it is "Purine riboswitch". It matches the Rfam family "Purine riboswitch aptamer", at positions 9 to 95 of the family's 102-position model. From Rfam's summary of the family: Riboswitches are metabolite binding domains within certain messenger RNAs that serve as precision sensors for their corresponding targets. The record is from RNAcentral.
AGAAUUCAUCACUCGUAUAAACCUGCUGAUUAGGAGCAGGUGUUUCUACCAAACGGCCGUAACCGUUUUUACUAUGGGUGUUCAUUU